Long non-coding RNA from Peromyscus leucopus (white-footed mouse), 622 nucleotides. RefSeq lists it as uncharacterized. NCBI's taxonomy places the organism in Eukaryota, Metazoa, Chordata, Mammalia, Rodentia, Cricetidae. The record is from RefSeq and is a predicted model, not a curated record. The transcript is spliced from 2 exons.
AUUGCUGACCUAUCAGGACUCAGGGGUGUGGCCUUCCAUCUUUCUUGGUGGCUUCACAAGAAAAGUGCCUCUGAGCCCUGAGCCAGAACAACCCAGGCUUCAGUAUGGCGAAGGCAACUAAGAAGUCACAUGACCCUACCAAAAAUAUCAGGCCAUCAACCUCAGGAACCAAGUCUAAGAAAGCCAAAAGUCGCCAUGAGCCCAAAACCAGAACUGCUGGCAAGAAGGAUGAUAAAUCCAGUUCCAGAAGCUGUAGAAUGGCAAGAAGGUGCAAAUGAUUACCAAGGUCAAGAAAACCCCACCAAGGAGGGCAAAGAGAAAGGCUUCUGAGAAAACUACAACCUCAACAAAAGGGAACAAAAAAGCCAGUGGGAAAUUACUAUAUGGUCACUACCACCACCUGAUGAAAGAGAUGACCAGGACUGAGACUGAUCCAGGGCAAAGCAGCUUAGAGAGUUGCAGUAUCUCAGCAAGUGACCUGGAAAGCCAGUAGUCUCAGAAUGCCACCAGAAACCUAGCCAUCUGUGCAAAGGUCUAGCAGCUAAGCAAUGUCGAACUGUGUAGAAUGAUUUUUUACUACACAGUUACUUUGAUAUUGAUGAAAAUAAAAUCAAUCUGAUAU